CCUACGGGAGGCAGCAGUGAGGAAUAUUGGUCAAUGGGCGGGAGCCUGAACCAGCCAAGUCGCGUGAGGGACGACGGUCCUAUGGAUUGUAAACCUCUUUUGUCGGGGAACAAAGGCGCCCACGGGUGGGCGGAUGAGUGUACCCGAAGAAAAAGCAUCGGCUAACUCCGUGCCAGCAGCCGCGGUAAUACGGAGGAUGCGAGCGUUAUCCGGAUUUAUUGGGUUUAAAGGGUGCGUAGGCGGACAGUCAAGUCAGCGGUAAAAAUGCGGUGCUCAACGCCGUACAGCCGUUGAAACUGGCAGUCUUGAGUGGGCGAGAAGUAUGCGGAAUGCGUGGUGUAGCGGUGAAAUGCAUAGAUAUCACGCAGAACUCCGAUUGCGAAGGCGGCCUGCUGGACUGCAACUGACGUUGAGGCCCGAAAGCGUGGGGAGCAAACAGGAUUAGAUACCCGUGUAGUC
Molecule: ribosomal RNA, 459 nt
Filed under: uncultured bacterium
Lineage: Bacteria
Description: partial 16S ribosomal RNA
Rfam family: Bacterial small subunit ribosomal RNA
Source: RNAcentral